ACCGGCAGCUCAAGUGGUGGCCAUUAUUAUUGGGCCUAAAGCGUUCGUAGCCGGUUUGAUAAGUCUCUGGUGAAAUCCCGCAGCUUAACUUUUUUCGUUGCUGGAGAUACUAUCAGACUUGAGGUCGGGAGAGGUUAGGGGUACUCCCAGGGUAGGGGUGAAAUCCUAUAAUCCUGGGAGGACCACCUGUGGCGAAGGCGCCUAACUGGAACGAACCUGACGGUGAGUAACGAAAGCCAGGGGCGCGAACCG
RNAcentral lists this ribosomal RNA (252 nucleotides) under uncultured prokaryote. Its description in RNAcentral is "partial 16S rRNA". It matches the Rfam family "Archaeal small subunit ribosomal RNA", at positions 475 to 726 of the family's 1478-position model. The record is from RNAcentral.